RNAcentral lists this transfer RNA (84 nucleotides) under Cellulomonas aerilata. RNAcentral describes it as "tRNA-Thr". Lineage: Bacteria; Bacillati; Actinomycetota; Actinomycetes; Micrococcales; Cellulomonadaceae. The record is from RNAcentral.
CCGUCUGGUUGGUGGACGCGGCGACACCGGUCGCCUCGUGGGCGACGCGGGCGGCCUCGUUCGCGUUCUGCGCGAUCUCGCGGA